UGCCAACUAGGAAAGAAAGUCCUCAAUUACACAAUGUGACAAAAGCAGAAAAACCUGCAAGAGUAUCAAGAGAAGCUUCUGAAGAUGUACCAGCUUCAACGAAAGCUAAAGAAGAAGCUGAAGAUGUGUCUUCCACAAAGAAGCAAAAAAGCCCCAUCAGCUUCUUCCAAUGUGUCUACUUGGAUGGAUACAAUGGCUAUGGAUUUCAGUUUCCUGUCACUCCUGCACACCGCCCUGGAGAGAGCUCUGGCCAACCAAGUACUCCAGAACAGAAGCAACAAGGACGAUAAGACACAUAUACACAGCCCUUACAAGUGCUUUAAGACUUUGAAAAUAGGAUCUUCUGUUUGUCCAGAGUGGCACGUGCAAUUGAAAUCAUAUAGUCCAGGGAAUUUCUCUGAAAAUAUUUUACCCUCCUGCCUGGUGUAGAAAGAAAGAGUGAGCAAAGGGAUCGAAUGAUAAGUAGACGAGUUGGAGGGUCUGGCGCUCAAGAAUCUGUCAUUUGUUUGUUGCUGGGUGUGGGUACUUAUAUUUUUCUAUUUCCACUCGCUGUAGGGUUGUUCACAAAUUAGGUUACAUUUUACUUAAUAAUGGUCUUUUAAACAUAAUUGACACAAUGACAAAAUGAAAUUUCUGGCUUCAGUUAGAUAUUUACUUUGAAGUGAAAACACGGACUAUGCUUCAAGUUUAAAGGGUGUAGGAGCUCAUACAAAGGCUGCUCUUUUGCAUCAUGUAGGUGUCUAAACUCAAUUUACCCAGUAAGCUGAUGUUUAAUAGUUUGUUUUAACAUCUUUAUUGGAUUACAAUUGCUUUACAAUGGUGUGUUAGUUUCUGCUGUAUAACAAAAUGAAUCAGCUAUACAUAUAUCCCCAUAU
This is a long non-coding RNA of Aethalodelphis obliquidens (Pacific white-sided dolphin), 875 nucleotides long. RefSeq lists it as uncharacterized. NCBI's taxonomy places the organism in Eukaryota, Metazoa, Chordata, Mammalia, Artiodactyla, Delphinidae. The record is from RefSeq and is a predicted model, not a curated record. The transcript is spliced from 5 exons.